Hylaeus volcanicus is the source of this 3133-nucleotide long non-coding RNA. RefSeq lists it as uncharacterized. The record is from RefSeq and is a predicted model, not a curated record. The transcript is spliced from 3 exons. NCBI's taxonomy places the organism in Eukaryota, Metazoa, Arthropoda, Insecta, Hymenoptera, Colletidae.
CGCGUCAACGGAAUUCUCUUCGCAUUAAUCACAGUUUCGAGAAGAAAAUAGCGUUUGUCAUCUCGGAUUAUCGACUAAACGAAGUAAAUACACUACCCUUCUUUCCGAUAUUUAAUCUUCCUCUAUCUGUGCGAUCGCGCGAGGGGAAGAAUACCGUUUGUAAAGUGACGCGUAAUAACUCAUACGUCGCGGCGCGGUUGGAAAAUUAAAAGUGAAACGGGAGGUACAGAAACGGACGAACGUGUCGCGUGGAAACACUGUGAAUUGCACCGACGAGAAAAGUAACGGAGGAAAUUCUGGGAUUUUUAUGCGAAACGCUAAAUAAUAAAAUUAGUACGCUGUUAACAGUGCGCCGCGCACCGGCGGUUAAAGUUAAUUUAAUGAUUUUCGUUAUUGGCUCGAACACCAUAAAGCUAUCCGAGCCCAUCUGUUGCCCGCGUAGAUUUUAAUAUCGCUCCACUCAUUUGCGCCGCCUGAAUCGAACCGACUAGUGUUCCCUCGUUCUGGCCACUAUUUUAAUGAUUUUCAUUCCACCAACGAUGGAGCUCUGACGAGGACCUGGAAAAUGUAGGAGAAAUGAAGCUGCUUCACAACUAUGGAGCAGUUUUGCAGAAUCUACUACCCUGCCUUCUCUAUUGGGAAACUCUAUUCCACGACGUCUACGGGUUUGGAUUUGGGCCGAAAGUAGCCACCAGUGCAACAGCAGAUUACUACAGCUUGGAAUUUGACACUUUUUCCAAUAAUUUAGAGCAUCGGUUGCUCUAGAAAUUUGCAUAAGCUUGAGAUGUUAAUCUUCUAUUAAGGAAAGCAAAAAUAUAUCAAAUAUCGUUUACAAACAUUGUUUUGGAGAAUUCGUUAUACUGCUUAUCUCAUUUCGCAAUUAUGGAUUGUAGAAGUAUGAAAGUCGCUAGAACUUCGAAACUUUUCGGUCGACUGAAAUAGAUCAUAUUUUACAUUGAAUUUCUACAAUUAAUGUCAGUCGCGUAAAACUUCUCUUUUAAACAAAACAAUUAGUAAUUACGCACCAAGGUUUGCGAGUAUCACAAGCUUGUAGAACAACCUCGAUUCAAAUUUAAUAUCUCGUGGCUAUGUGCCAUUGACAACGUCCCCUACAAGUUCCCAAACGCCAGGAGGUAGAAAUAGAAUAAAGAUCCAGUGAGAUCGACGCGCUAAGGAGCGUGUCAGAAUCAAAGAGUGCAAUUAAAGUCACCGUUAAAAGCAAGAUCGUCAGGAACGAUCCAUUGGAAAAGACGGCUCUGGCAUGUGCUCCAGUUUUAGUUCAGCAGCAAGCGUUUCGUCGCUUUUGGGUGGAAGUUUGAGGCAGCAGGAAGGGGGCCCCGUGGAUGGAGAAACAGGACGCAGCGAACCCGAUAGCGGCGUACGUAUCGAACAGGAGGACGAAUCGAGGGCAGAAUUCCGCUCGUGGAAUCUUGCAGCCCCCGAACCGAGCGAAGACAGAAAAGACUGAUGUCCUGUAUCCUGUCCCCGAGCGAUCCGUGGAGAGAGCGACGACGACGAAAAAAAGCGGAGCGAGCGAGCUGGAUGCCGUUGGUAUCCGGAAUGGAUUACGGAAUCGGAUGGAACAGCGGACCGGAAAGUCCUCCUUCUCUAUUCUAGCGCGACACCUCAUCAUUCCGCCACGUUCGCCGUAGAGCCCUCCCGCGGCCCCGAGGAUCGCAUGGGAAUUCCCGUAUCACGAAGCGCGCGUAAAUCCAUUCCGGUAUUGGAUCAAACGCCUAACGCGUUCACCCUUAAGAAUGUCGGGUUAUCGCAAGUGGAAGAAAAAUGACCGAACUGUGGGUCACGACAGGCUCAUCUCUUGGUCUCUUUGGUAAUUUGUUUGCUUAUUUCUCGUUAUUAUGGCGAUUCAAAGAUAGGGUUUAUGGCAAAGACUAUGGUGAUUGUUUAUGAAGAAUUGUUUGGAUGUAAGAUUAUACACGAUUUUAUAUUUAGAAGAUAUUUCUUUGAAUCGACGUAGUAACUGGAAGAAAUAAUAUUGAGAGUGUCAGGUUAACAAUGUCCCGCUUCUUUAAAUAGUAACGUAAAAUUUUGAACGUUUGUUAGGUUCUAAUACAUUUCAUGUGAUAGCAUUCAAUGUUUGCACUUGAGUUAUCGAGCGACUGUAAGCCCUGGAAUAUUAAUAGAAAAAAUACGAUUGAAGGAACUGCGCAGCGUGUUCAAAUGUAACUGCAGAUUUAUCACCGAGAGCGGCAGGUUAUCUAAAGUUUCCAAAUUUAGAAACUUGGGACCUUUGCAUAGUUCUAGAGUUCCAAUGUAUUUAGUGGAAGAGCAUUCAGUCUUUGAAGUUGGAAAUUAAUAGUAACUCUACGUUAGGUAUACAGCAGAUGAAAACGAUUAAAAGGUGUAAAUAACGGUUUAAAAGAAACUUAGGCUUUUCAAGGAAAUUGGGGUACGUACUCGUACGUUUCGUUUCUAAAUUUUUGUAAAUAUCGUAAUACAGAAGUAACCACUAAAAUUGCGAAUACAUGUUUAUAAUUAUAUUUCCCAUUUAUAUAAAAUAACUACAUCACCGUAAGAUGUAAGUUUACGAGUGUGCAAAUGUUUUUAAAUGUUCUCAAAUAUCCUGACAUUCUUGAUAUUAAACCCAUCGUUAUUUUUAAAUUGAUUGUUUAAACCCUUUGAUCGUUUUCAUCCGUGGUAUACAGUCUUACGUGUAGUUGUAUGUAUCAUACGUACUAUGGAUACGUAGACGCAUUGUUGCGUGGUACAACGAGAAAGUGUGGCGCUAACUGAAACGUGAGAUCAGAUGUGUCUCGCGAUAUGUGCACGAUCGAAAUGCUUCCCAUUGGAUUAGCAUACUAUCAUUUAAACAGGCAUUCCGGAUGCGUCAUCCGGCCGUCAUUAGUAGCGCUCAUUGAAGGUCCAUUGAAAGCUGGAUCCAGUCCUACAGACUAAUUACAGUCCGGCGUAUACGGUAUCGAAAGCAGUCACCAAUCUAUAAAAGGGCUGCGGAACACGUACUAUCUCGUGUCAUCUACGUAUGCGUUUGGCAUUGUGCCCAUUAAUGAAACCGAACAUACUACUUUACCCUGUUCCGUAAUUUCGUUCUCGUUAUUUUAAUGAUAAUCCGUCUCCUUUCGUUUGACAACACGCAUUGUAUUGUAUCCGUUCU